UACGUAGGGGGCAAGCGUUGUCCGGAUUUAUUGGGCGUAAAGAGCGUGUAGGCGGCUAGGUAGGUCCGCUGUGAAAACUCGAGGCUCAACCUCGAGACGUCGGUGGAAACCAUCUAGCUAGAGUCCGGAAGAGGAGAGUGGAAUUCCCGGUGUAGCGGUGAAAUGCGCAGAUAUCGGGAGGAACACCCGUGGCGAAGGCGGCUCUCUGGGACGGUACUGACGCUGAGACGCGAAAGCGUGGGGAGCGAACAGG
RNAcentral lists this ribosomal RNA (253 nucleotides) under uncultured bacterium. RNAcentral's name for it is "partial 16S ribosomal RNA". It matches the Rfam family "Bacterial small subunit ribosomal RNA", at positions 524 to 776 of the family's 1533-position model. The record is from RNAcentral.